RNAcentral lists this ribosomal RNA (495 nucleotides) under uncultured bacterium. RNAcentral's name for it is "partial 16S ribosomal RNA". It matches the Rfam family "Bacterial small subunit ribosomal RNA", at positions 28 to 507 of the family's 1533-position model. The record is from RNAcentral.
GACGAACGCUGGCGGCGUGCCUAAUACAUGCAAGUAGAACGCUGAAGGAGGAGCUUGCUCUUCUGGAUGAGUUGCGAACGGGUGAGUAACGCGUAGGUAACCUGCCUGGUAGCGGGGGAUAACUAUUGGAAACGAUAGCUAAUACCGCAUAAUAGUAGAUGUUGCAUGAUAUUUACUUAAAAGGUGCAAUUGCACCACUACCAGAUGGACCUGCGUUGUAUUAGCUAGUUGGUGGGGUAACGGCUCACCAAGGCGACGAUACAUAGCCGACCUGAGAGGGGGAUCGGCCACACUGGGAAUGAGACACGGCCCAGACUCCUACGGGAGGCAGCGGUAGGGAAUCUUCGGCAAUGGACGAAAGUCUGACCGAGCAACGCCGCGUGAGUGAAGAAGGUUUUCGGAUCGUAAAGCUCUGUUGUAAGAGAAGAACGGGUGUGAGAGUGGAAAGUUCACACUGUGACGGUAUCUUACCAGAAAGAGACGGCUAACUACGUG